Molecule: ribosomal RNA, 657 nt
Filed under: uncultured eukaryote
Lineage: Eukaryota
Description: eukaryotic LSU rRNA
Rfam family: 5.8S ribosomal RNA (bases 267-420)
Source: RNAcentral
AGUCGUAACAAGGUUUCCGUAGGUGAACCUGCGCGAAGGAUCAUUACCGAGUGUUGCGGGCCCCUCUCCGGGGGGGUCCCACCUCCCAUCCUUGUCUAUCUCUACCCUGUUGCUUCGGCGGGCCCGCCUGCGUUCCCCGUUAAGAUCCUUAGCGGGGGCCAGGCCGCCGGGGGGCCCCGCGCCCCCGGGCCCGUGCCCGCCGGGGACUCCCACUUGGAACGCUGUCUGAAGGUUGCAGUCUGAGUCCUUUUUGGAAAAAUCGUUAAAACUUUCAACAACGGAUCUCUUGGUUCCGGCAUCGAUGAAGAACGCAGCGAAAUGCGAUAAGUAAUGUGAAUUGCAGAAUUCAGUGAAUCAUCGAGUCUUUGAACGCACAUUGCGCCCCCUGGUAUUCCGGGGGGCAUGCCUGUCCGAGCGUCAUUGCUGCCCUCAAGCACGGCUUGUGUGUUGGGCCGCCGUCCCGGGGGGACUUUUCUCCCCCGCGGGACGGGCCCGAAAGGCAGCGGCGGCACCGUGUCCGGUCCUCGAGCGUAUGGGGCUCUGUCACCCGCUCUGGUAGGCCCGGCCGGCGCGCCAGCCCUUCUCAACCAUUUUUGUUCUUUCUCCAGGUUGACCUCGGAUCAGGUAGGGAUACCCGCUGAACUUAAGCAUAUCAAU